Molecule: ribosomal RNA, 2049 nt
Filed under: Triticum aestivum (bread wheat)
Lineage: Eukaryota; Viridiplantae; Streptophyta; Magnoliopsida; Poales; Poaceae
Description: partial small subunit ribosomal RNA
Source: RNAcentral
AUGGCGAUGGCAGGCAGGAGGCGCCCCGAUCUCCUCCUGCGCUGCCGCGCCAAUCUCUCGGCCCGUAAUCCGCCGAGAUCCAACCUUUCCACCAACUCCGGCCGGAGUCCGUCCGAACCCGCCGACCCGGCCCGCGCGGCGUCGAUCCUGGCCGAGAAGGACUGGUUCGCGCGGCUCAACUCGGAGUUCGCCGCCGCGCUGCCGCGCCUGGGCCCGCGCUUCGUGGUCCGCGUGCUGCACGCCGCCGUGCCCCUCGAGCCCCGCCUCUGCGUCCGCCUCUACGUUUGGGCGUCGCGGUUCGGGACCCACUUCGCGCGCGACGCCUCGGUGCGGCGGGCCCUGGAGGACGCGCUGUGGCGGCGCGGGCCGCUGGUGCUGUCCGCGGCGCUGGUGGCGGAGGUCAGGGGCUGCGGGUGCGAGGUCUCCGAGGAGCUGCUCUGCUCCAUGAUCGCCAGCUGGGGCAGGCUGGGCCUCGCGCAGUACGCGCACGAGGUGUUCGUGCAAAUGCCGCGCCUCGGGCUGAGGCCCAGCACCGCGGUGUACAACGCCCUGAUCGCGGCGUCCGUGAGGGCUGGGGCCGUCGACACGGCGUACCUCAGGUUCCAGCAGAUGCCUGCGGACGGGUGCCAGCCGGACUGCUUCACCUACAACACACUCGUUCACGGGGUCUGUCGUAGUGGGAUCGUCGAUGAGGCGCUCCGGCUGGUGAGGCAGAUGGAGGGCGUCGGGAUCAAGCCGAAUGUGUUCACUUACACGAUGUUGGUUGAUGGGUUCUGCAAUGCUGGCAGGCCAGAGGACGCACUUCAUGUGUUCAAUACGAUGAAGGAUAAGGGUGUAUCACCGAACGAGGCCUCGUACAGGACUUUGGUUCAUGGUGCAUUCCGGUGCUUGGGGAGCCACAAGGCGUAUGAGAUGCUUAGUGAGUGGAUAGGACGUCAGCCUCCACUGCACCCAAGUGCGUGGCAUACUAUGCUGUAUUGCUUAUCAAAGAAUGGGAUGGCCAAAGAGGUAGUUGAGGUCGUGAAGAAGAUGAAAACUAGGGGUCUUCUCCUUGACAAUGCAAUGUUUGGCAUUGUGGUCUCUUGUGCUGUGAAGUGCCUGGAGUUGAGUGAUUUGUGUGAGUUGGUUGAUGAUUUCGUAAAGAAAGGCGGGAAUCCUGGAUUUCAUGUCUAUAUUAUGAUCAUCAAAUCCUUACUGGACUGCAGAAGUUCUUCAAAGGCAAACCACUAUUUAGAGCGCAUGGUUUUGGAUGGGCUCUUGUCUAGUGUGGCAUCUUAUAACAUGGUGAUAGAUUGCUUUGUCAAGGAAGGUGCAGUGGAUAGGGCAGUGGAGAUUAUAAAACAGAUGCGAGAGAAAGGUUUCCUUCCAAACCUUGUUACCUUUAAUAUACUGAUAAGUGGUUACUCAAAGUUAGGGGAUGUACAUAAUGCAAAGGCCGUUCUUAAGAUGCUUAUGGAACAUGGUUUCAUGCCAGAUAUCAUUACUUUUACCUCCCUCAUUGACGGGCUAUGCCAUGCCCAUCAAAUGGAUGAUGCGUUUGAUUGCUUCAGUGAGAUGGCAGAGUGGGGUGUUAGACCAAAUGCUCAUACUUACAAUGUACUAAUGCGUGCGCUUUGUUCAGUAGGGCACGUUAACAAGGCCAUUGAUCUUCUUAAUAAAAUGAAAAUAGACGGCAUUACUCCCGAUGCAUAUUCCUUCAAUGCUCCCAUUUUGAGUUUUUGCAGAAUGAAGAAAGUAGAUAAAGCUCGUAGUAUUUUUAAUGCCAUGCUGAGAUUAGGUGUUGUUCCAGACGGUUACACAUGCAACAUCCUGAUUAAAGCUCUGUGUGAUGAAAGAAGAGUUGAUGAUGCCAAAGAAAUUCUAGCUGCAACAGAGUCUAGUUGCUGUACUGUGACCGAUCAUCAUCACUCAUACUGGCCAAUUGUUUCUGCACUUACUAAAAUGGGUCGAUUCAGUGAGGCAGGACAGUUGAUGAACAAAUGUCACAUCAGAAAUGUUCAGUUGGAUUGUGGUUCUAAUCGUACCAGAGAGCCUGCAAUUCAUGCCUGA